GACGAACGCUGACGGCGUGCUUAACACAUGCAAGUCGAACGGAAAGGCCCUGCUUUUGUGGGGUGCUCGAGUGGCGAACGGGUGAGUAACACGUGAGUAACCUGCCCUUGACUUUGGGAUAACUUCAGGAAACUGGGGCUAAUACCGGAUAGGAGCUCCUGCUGCAUGGUGGGGGUUGGAAAGUUUCGGCGGUUGGGGAUGGACUCGCGGCUUAUCAGCUUGUUGGUGGGGUAGUGGCUUACCAAGGCUUUGACGGGUAGCCGGCCUGAGAGGGUGACCGGCCACAUUGGGACUGAGAUACGGCCCAGACUCCUACGGGAGGCAGCAGUGGGGAAUAUUGCACAAUGGGCGGAAGCCUGAUGCAGCAACGCCGCAUGCGGGAUGACGGCCUUCGGGUUGUAAACCGCUUUCGCCUGUGACGAAGCGUGAGUGACGGUAAUGGGUAAAGAAGCACCGGCUAACUACGUG
This 468-nucleotide ribosomal RNA is filed under the name uncultured bacterium. RNAcentral's name for it is "partial 16S ribosomal RNA". It matches the Rfam family "Bacterial small subunit ribosomal RNA", at positions 28 to 507 of the family's 1533-position model. The record is from RNAcentral.